CCGGGGAGCUGAACAGCCAGCAAUAAAGAAAGACACCCUAAAUUACUGCAAGCAGAAGAAGUCUUGCUCAAGGCUGUGCGGUGCCUCAGCGGGGAUCCAUGUAAAGCAGCCGGCGUGAGAGGACGUGACACGACCUGCCGCAGGAAUUGUACUGAAACUCGGAGCAUGUCAGAGCAGGAGAGCAUCAGGGCAAUGACUGAUGAAGAUUAGCCCAGAUAGCGAGGAGGAAUGGCAACAAAAGGCGUGCACACCUCUGUGGAAAGGCUGCAUGAGGAAUGCUCCACCGGCAGCACGGCGCUGGGCCCCAGCAAAGCCAGCACCAGACAGGUGCCCCCUGCCCUAGCACGGGCCAGGGUUCACUGCAAAUACUGCCAAACCAUAGGGGAGAUACCUGGAAUAAAAAAUAAAAUAAAAUAAAA
Molecule: long non-coding RNA, 419 nt
Organism: Parus major (Great Tit)
Lineage: Eukaryota; Metazoa; Chordata; Aves; Passeriformes; Paridae
Exons: 2
Source: RefSeq, a predicted model, not a curated record